This 253-nucleotide ribosomal RNA is filed under the name uncultured bacterium. RNAcentral's name for it is "partial 16S ribosomal RNA". It matches the Rfam family "Bacterial small subunit ribosomal RNA", at positions 524 to 776 of the family's 1533-position model. The record is from RNAcentral.
UACGAAGGGUGCAAACGUUGCUCGGAAUUAUUGGGCGUAAAGCGCACGUAGGCGGCAUUGCAAGUCGGAUGUGAAAUCCCUCGGCUUAACCAAGGAAGUGCAUCCGAAACUGCAGUGCUUGAGUACUUAAGAGGAUCGCGGAAUUCCCGGUGUAGAGGUGAAAUUCGUAGAUAUCGGGAAGAACACCAGUGGCGAAGGCGGCGAUCUGGGAAGAUACUGACGCUGAGGUGCGAAAGCGUGGGGAGCAAACAGG